Long non-coding RNA from Strigops habroptila (Kakapo), 782 nucleotides. RefSeq lists it as uncharacterized. The record is from RefSeq and is a predicted model, not a curated record. Lineage: Eukaryota; Metazoa; Chordata; Aves; Psittaciformes; Psittacidae. The transcript has 4 exons.
GGGACUUCACUGUUGACUCUGGCAGCAGCUUUCUGCUAGGCAGCAGAGAUUGCUGGCUUAGGGUUACAGCUGAGGGAUCAGGAUUGAACUGUUGGUGAAGCACAGCUGAUGAGCCAGGUUUGAGAUAGUGUUUCAGCACUGAAUAAUUUUGAGGCAUCUACUUGUAUGGUUGUGGAGCAGAGGCUGUAGCUGCAAUUUGGGUUAAAGCUUGAUCUUGCUGAGAGUGAAGCAUGCACUUACGCUAAUCUGGGUCUGGGGCUGCUGUUGGACCAGGACAGAUCUUACACAGAGAUGGUGGAAUAAAAGAACCAGAAGGCUAACCAGAGAUGGCAGAGAGAGCUGUUGAGCUCCAUUGUAAACUGAUGAGAGAAAUGUUUCCAGCCCAGCUCAAUAGUUCUGCAUCAGACAUGCUGUCUGUGAAUUUGUCUACCCUGUGUCUACUGCUCAUACUGUUUGCCUUUAAAAUCUGCUGUGACUACAUAUUCCACAAGUUCAUUACCUAUCAUGUGAAGUCUCUGAUUCUGGCAUGAAUCACAGUUCUGUGCCAUCCAGCUCUUCCCUGAGGUCUGCAUGGCUAGCAGUCAACCAGAGCAUGCUAUAAAGGGCAGGGGCAUUGAUCCAAGGAAGCAAUCAGGUACAUGUGUGAUUCUUUCUCCACAGAGCUCUCAAAAUCUAAUCAGAAAAGCUUUUUGGAACAUUCUUCCAAGAACUUUAAACAAUCUGGAGAAGACAAACAUUUCAUCAGAAUCUGAAUGUACAAAAAAAUAAAUUGAUUGCUACUA